Triticum dicoccoides is the source of this 1405-nucleotide long non-coding RNA. RefSeq lists it as uncharacterized. The record is from RefSeq and is a predicted model, not a curated record. Lineage: Eukaryota; Viridiplantae; Streptophyta; Magnoliopsida; Poales; Poaceae. The transcript has 4 exons.
GAUCGAUUUGCAUUUACCUCGUUAGAGUUAGACCGGUCAUCACCUUCUUCCCGGCGCACUGGACAUGGGACGGGGCCCCAUGGAUGGGAUGGAGUUCUUCUUCGAAGAUGACGAUUCGGGGUCGGAUGCAGUGUCUAUCUUAAAGGGGCAAGUGGCUGCAGUGGAAUUGGUUGUUGCUUCUAUUCAUGGGGCUCGCACAGGCAAUGGAGAUUAGAUUUCUUCCCAUGCAAACAGUGGAGGAAUGGAGUCCGGAGAGAACGGAGGAGGACGGCACCCAGAAGAGACAAUCAUGACAGAGGAGAUUAUCGAUUCAUACAUCUGUGGUAGCGAGGUGGCGGCCGAUUCAAUGUCCCCUGAAAAUAUGAGCGGCCAAAGAAGAUGAGAUGCAGAGGGAGUGGUCGUCUCAAAAUCACAGGGCUCCUGCUGGACACGAAAGGAAGUUUACUUGUGAUCUAAUCUAUUAUUUUGUGACUCUGUAUAAUGGUAGCACAUAAUGGAGUAAACGAGUCUUCAUGUGAAAUUGACAAGUGAUUAUGACAUGCAAAGCAUCAGAUAUCUUCAUUUUUCUGGUUUAGGAUCCCAUGUGUGAUUCAACAAUUAAUUGGUGUCCAUGUUAAAAUUUGCAGAAUUAGGAUCAGUUAGGAUGCAGAUGAGAGGGAGAACAAUCCCAGCAGAGUGCCUCCUACGCUUGAGGCUUCGAUACGUUCUUAUGCUGAUAACAAGGCAGGUACUGUUGUUAAUCCAGCUAGCUUCGCUUCCGUCGAAGAAGUAUAUGAGUUUUACAACUUGUACUCUUUGGGAGACUGACUUUGGUGUCCGGUAUGCAAAGAGCCGACUCAAUGUCCAUGGGAUAAAGUGCAUGCAUGCGCGGGUAAACCACUGCAGUCCAAUAGCAGAUCAAACGGUGUGGCUGCACUGCUAUGAUGUGGCUAUUGAGAUCGGAUGAUAACGGUUCGUACGGGUGCGAGCAUAGGUCAGAAAUGAUCAUGAGCUCUCUGUUAACUGUAUGGAGAAGUUACAUUGAAAGUCGCAUCGACACAUGUACACCGGGGACAUGGUAAAAGAACAAAGAAUGAUUGCGUCGCUGUGGGUCAUGAUCUUGAAGAGGGUUGCGGCCACUUCGACCCCUUGUUGGCGUUAAUCCCACCGAGCCAUGCAGCAAGUUAUGAAUUGGAGCACAUGUUCGACGAUAUUUGACGGCGCUGCGGCAACUGAUGGUGCAUGCUCUGAAGACGAAGAAGUCAUGAACAAGCCUGCCAAAAAAGCCGGGAUAGUUUGACCACCUAGUGUAGAUUUUAGAGCAGGAUUGGUUAGCCCUGUUUCAUAUCUUGUGCAUGAUAUACUGGUGUGUGACUUGUCCUAGUAAUUGCCUAUGUAAUCGCGUUUAUCACUCUGCGUUUGGAUU